This 253-nucleotide ribosomal RNA is filed under the name uncultured bacterium. RNAcentral's name for it is "partial 16S ribosomal RNA". It matches the Rfam family "Bacterial small subunit ribosomal RNA", at positions 524 to 776 of the family's 1533-position model. The record is from RNAcentral.
UACGUAGGGUGCAAGCGUUGUCCGGAAUUAUUGGGCGUAAAGAGCUCGUAGGCGGUCUGUCGCGUCGGCUGUGAAAACCCGGAGCUCAACUCCGGGCCUGCAGUCGAUACGGGCAGACUGGAGUUCGGCAGGGGAGACUGGAAUUCCUGGUGUAGCGGUGAAAUGCGCAGAUAUCAGGAGGAACACCGAUGGCGAAGGCAGAUCUCUGGGCCGUAACUGACGCUGAGGAGCGAAAGCGUGGGGAGCGAACAGG